RNAcentral lists this transfer RNA (70 nucleotides) under Dipodomys ordii (Ord's kangaroo rat). It matches the Rfam family "tRNA". From Rfam's summary of the family: Transfer RNA (tRNA) molecules are approximately 80 nucleotides in length. Their secondary structure includes four short double-helical elements and three loops (D, anti-codon, and T loops). Further hydrogen bonds mediate the characteristic L-shaped molecular structure. tRNAs have two regions of fundamental functional importance: the anti-codon, which is responsible for specific mRNA codon recognition, and the 3' end, to which the tRNAs corresponding amino acid is attached (by aminoacyl-tRNA synthetases). tRNAs cope with the degeneracy of the genetic code in two manners: having more than one tRNA (with a specific anti-codon) for a particular amino acid; and 'wobble' base-pairing, i.e. permitting non-standard base-pairing at the 3rd anti-codon position. The record is from Rfam by way of RNAcentral. Lineage: Eukaryota; Metazoa; Chordata; Mammalia; Rodentia; Heteromyidae.
GGUAAGGUGGCUCAGUGGUAGAGUACUUGCCUUGCAUGCAUGAGGCCCUGGGUUCGAUUCCUCAGCACCA